UUAAUCACAGAAAGGAAUAGUUCUCUAGAAGACUCAACUCAGGAGAACCUGAGUUUAAAUUAUCCUCCUGACAUUUCCUAUCUGGGUAAAGAAGGGCAAAUUAAAAAAAAAAAAGAUUUUAAGGGCAGGUUCCAAAGGACAAUGGAGGUCUUCAGUUUUUAUGUUGGGUAUUCAAGGUAGCUAGCAAUGCAGAGGAUAGAGUGUUGAAUAUGGAGUCAGGAAGACCUGGAGUUAAAAUCUAGUCUAAGACACCAGCUGUGUCACCAUAGAACUAAGGGAUGUUUUGCCAAUCCUACAAAGAAGCACACUAAAGUGGAUCUGAUACAUAAGAGAACCAUACCCCCUAUCAACAGGGAGGCCUCUGAAGACCUUUACCUAUAUAACCAGGAAUGCGAUCCUCAUUUCUAAGACUGUCUUCAUUGGUGGGGAUUGAUUACUUGAUGUUCCACAUAUGUAUGAAGGUGAAGUUGUUGAGAUGUUGGAAGAGAUAUCCUGGCCUUGGGGCUUUCAUAUUGCUGAGAAAAGCUCCAAAUUCUUUGGAAGUCUCCCUUGCCAAAACAUCUUUCAGAGCAUUUCAGAUGAUCUAUCUGCUCUCCUGCCUCCUGUUGCAAGAGAAGAAAUAUCAUUCCAUUGAUUCCUUUCUAAAAGGACAGGAGACUCUUCUGAACAAUUGCCAACCAAGGUGCCUCCCCACCUCCACCAUG
Molecule: long non-coding RNA, 704 nt
Filed under: Monodelphis domestica (gray short-tailed opossum)
Lineage: Eukaryota; Metazoa; Chordata; Mammalia; Didelphimorphia; Didelphidae
Description: lncRNA (ENSMODG00000032355.2)
Source: RNAcentral